Molecule: ribosomal RNA, 3733 nt
Filed under: Triticum aestivum (bread wheat)
Lineage: Eukaryota; Viridiplantae; Streptophyta; Magnoliopsida; Poales; Poaceae
Description: partial small subunit ribosomal RNA
Source: RNAcentral
CCUUCCUCUCUUUUCCUUGCCGACGAAGCAUCCUCCUCGCGGGUUCUCAUGAGUCUCGUCCCCCAACAAAUCGAUUGAAAUUAGAAAAUCAAUUAAGAAUACCCGUAAAUUACCAAACACGCGCUGCCACCGACCGAUCGAGCCACCGACCCCCAGAAGUUCCAACCAAAUUCCCCGUCGACAACAGCAGCGGAGGGGCUCCCAGAUCUCGCCGCCGCGGGCACCGGCGAACGAGAUGUCGCUCAACAUGAAGACGCUGCAGCAGGCGCUGGCCAAGGCGUCGGCGGUGAUCGAGAAGACGGUGACCACCACGGUGCAGGAGGUCACGGGCCCGCGGCCGCUGCAGGACUACGAGCUGCUCGACCAGGCGGGCUCGGGCGGCCCGGGGCUCGCGUGGCGGAUCUACACGGCGCGGCCGCGGGACGCGGCGGCAUCCACGCCGUACCCCGUCGUCUCCGUUUGGGUGCUCGACAAGCGAGCGCUCUCCGAGGCGCGGGCGCGGGCCGGGCUCUCCAGGGCGGCGGAGGACGCGUUCCUCGACCUCGCACGCGCUGACGCCGCGCGCCUCGUGCGGCUGCGUCAUCCGGGUGUGCUCCACGUCGUGCAGGCGCUGGACGAGACCAAGGCCGCCAUGGCCAUGGUCACUGAGCCGCUCUUCGCCUCCGUCUCCAAUGCGCUCGGGUGCCUCGACAACGUGGGCAAGGUGCCCAAGGAGCUCAAGGGCAUGGAAAUGGGGAUACUGGAGAUUAAACAUGGAUUGCUACAAGUUGCAGAGACGUUGGAUUUUCUCCAUAACAAUGCCCAUCUUGCACAUCGAGCUAUAUCACCUGAGACAGUCUUUAUAACUUCAAGUGGAUCUUGGAAGCUUGGAGGUUUUGGUUUUGCUCUUUCUGUUGACCAAGCCACAGGUGGUUUGGCAUCAUCGCAGCAAUUCCAUUAUUCGGACUAUGAUGUCGAAGACACAGCUUUACCUCUUCAACCAUCUCUGAACUAUACUGCACCAGAAUUGGUUCGCAGUGGUGAUUCUAAAGUAGGCUCUACCUGUGACAUAUUCAGUUUUGGAUGCCUGGCUUACCACUUAGUUGCUCAUAGACCACUUCUGGAUUGCCAUAACAAUGUGAAAAUGUAUAUGAAUUCAUUGACAUAUUUAACAAGUGAAGCCUUUUCUAAUAUUCCUACUGAUCUGGUGGCUGAUUUGCGAAAUAUGCUAUCAGUUGAUGCAGCAUCACGCCCUAGUGCGAUGGCCUUCACAGGCUCUUCUUUCUUCCGGCAUGAUACAAGGUUGCGAGCUCUUCGUUUCCUUGACCAUUUGCUUGAGAGAGAUAAUAUGCAGAAGACAGAAUUUCUGAAAGCAUUAUCGGAUAUGUGGAAAGACUUUGAUUCCCGAGUUCUUCGAUAUAAAGUUCUUCCACCUCUUUGUGCCGAGCUACGCAACAUGGUCAUGCAGCAAAUGAUUUUGCCCAUGGUUCUGACAAUAGCAGAAUCACAGGAUAAAGAUGACUUUGAGCUGUCAACAUUGCCUGCUCUUGUUCCAGUAUUUACUUCAGCAUCAGGUGAAACUCUUCUUUUGCUUGUGAAGCGUGCCGAUCUCAUUAUUAGCAAGGCCACAAACGAACAUUUGAUAUCACAUAUCCUUCCUAUGCUGGUACGGGCUUAUGAUGAUACUGAUCCCCGUCUGCAGGAAGAAGUUUUGCGACGAACAGUAACACUGUCUCGACAACUUGACAUGAAGCUACUGAAACAGUCUGUGCUGCCACGCGUGCAUGGAUUAGCUUUGAAAACUACAGUUGCUGCGGUGCGAGUAAAUGCUUUGCGCUGUUUAGGAGAUCUUGUUCCAUCGUUGGAUAAAACAGGUAUAGUAGAGAUCUUGCAGACUCUUCGGCGUUGCACAGCUGUUGACCAUUCUGCCCCAACCCUUAUGUGCACCCUUGGAGUUGCUAAUGCGAUUUAUAAACAGUGUGGUGUUGAGUUUGCUGCGGAACAUGUGGUUCCUCUAGUCUUCCCAUUGCUCACGGCACAACAACUGAAUGUACAGCAAUUUGCGAAGUAUAUCCUAUUUGUCAAGGAUAUCACAAGCAAGAUUGAAGAGAAGCGUGGCGUGACAGUUACGGAUAAUGGGCAUACAGAGGUAAAAGUAUCGCCUUCAAUCUCAAAUGGGAUUCAUUCUAAGCCAACUUCAGGAGGCCUGGGACAGACUGGACAAAUGCCAGCUGCAAAGAGCACUUCUUGGGAUGAAGACUGGGGCCCUACUAAGAAAACCAGUGCCCCGCCACUCUCUUUUGAUUCUAGUGCUCAAACAAAGCAACCCUCAAAAGACCCUUUUGAUUUCAGUACCCAAACAAACCAACCCUCAACACUUCUCUUCGAUCUUAGUACUCAAACGAAGCAGCCAUCGACAGUUACUCAGGUUGCAGCGUCUACAAUCCCGUCUGCACAACCACUUCCAUCUCUGCAAUCUCUUGCACCUAGUUCAGGGCAUCAAACUUCCGGUUCAUGUGUUCCUGUUGACAUUGAGUGGCCUCCUAGAAUGAGCACAUCAUCUGACUUUAAUGCACCAUUCUCAGCUAACAAGGAUAGUAAAUCUGGAGGGCUGUCUAAUGAUGGGGUUGAUGAUGUUGAUCCUUUUGCCGACUGGCCCCCCAAACCAAGCAGCGCAGCCAGCAUUUCAGCAGUGGAGCGCCUGCCAAGCACAAAUCAAAGUAUUUCUGGGUUGAAUACAGGGAACAUGGGGUUUGGUGGUAGCAGUACUUCGCUUGGACAACUGAAAACAAACCAGGUGAGCUGGUCAGCGAAACCAAACAAUACAAAUAUAAUGGGCAUGAGUUCAACUGCCAGCUAUUUGAACCAAGGCAACUCAUCUCUGGGAUAUGGAAAUCCAAUUGGAGGACCGAGCUCAGGUCUCCCCAAUGCAGCUAGUUCCAUUGGAGGCCAGAGCAUCAGGCAACCAAAAUCUGAUUUUGGUUCACUAUCACAGUUAUCCAGUGGCGCACAGGGCCCACCCAGGCUUGCCCCUCCUCCAUCUGCUGCUGUUGGAAGAGGGCGUGGUAGAAAUCAAGGGCAGUCAGCCCUCUCCCGAGCAUCACGGACUCCCAAUUCCAAUGUUUCAUCAGAGCAGCCACCUUUUCUUGAUUUACUGUAGCAAAUACAGGAGUGUCCAUGUUCUUCGUUCUGCAAACGGCACUGGAUAGCUCACAUCGUUCAAGCCUUGUAUAUGAUGAGCAUUACACUUUCCUGAAACAUGGUUGCAGGCGAUAGUGCAUUUUCUUGUCAGUGGAAACUGGGUUGCCUUUGUUGUUAGCCCCAAGGAAGCUGCUUCAGGAAAGAGCCUUCCUGAGGUUAGAGAAUGUAUUCUUGCUUAGGGUUUUCUCGAUUUCAGCAUCAUUGGGGUGGUGAGGCAGCAUUAAUUUUAUUUGUGUAUAUCUUUGUCCAGGCUCUGCUGUAAUGUCUAGAGUUCACAAAUGGUUGUGGUGAUGUGAAAUUUUGAAUGUUGAGAAUGUAUCACCAAAAUCUGAUGGGCCUCGUGAAAGUGGAAACCCUACAUGAUGUAUUCAUUUAAGCCGGGAAGGGCCCAUGUCGUGUAAUUGCCAAAUUUGGGCCCAUCUGUACCUCUGCCUGAAAAAUGUGGGUGGAAACACUUGUUAAAUGCUCCACUAGUUUCUUGUAUUGUGAUUAUUACUGUCGAAGUGAAUAUGCUUAUUUUUGCACAUUGCCAUCAAAGUGAACAUGCUUAUUU